RNA transcript from Ixodes scapularis (black-legged tick), 1457 nucleotides. RefSeq lists it as uncharacterized. Lineage: Eukaryota; Metazoa; Arthropoda; Arachnida; Ixodida; Ixodidae. The record is from RefSeq and is a predicted model, not a curated record. The transcript has a single exon.
AUGCCACGAUUCUCUCGUUCGUCUGUUGCUCGGAGCCCCAUCGGGCCAACGAGUGCUAGCUCUACAUGCACGCACUAUAGUCGCCAACAAGAUGAGAACGCCCGGCCUCCGGCACAUGCUCGCGGCCUUUCGCCGUGCCUCGGCUGCGCAUGCACGCUCGAGGUUCGCAAGACGCCCGAGCUUUGCCGGAGGUGGGAGGCUCACGCUGAAGCUCCUCCCUGCCUUUUUCAUUCCGGCAGUAAUUAUAGAACGGCGCUCUACAGGUGUUGCGGUCACACCAGAGUCGACAACUCCGGUAGUUUGCAGCCGUGGCAGUACCGACGUUUCGAGGCUGCCAGCACGGUGCUUUUGUUACGUUUGCAAGAGGUGUGGCGAACUGUUGGCACGGUGGGGCUCGCACAUUAUGCUGCUCUGGUGGUACUGACUGUGUUCAUGCGAGGAGUGCAUGCAUCGGGGAAGCACACUAUAAUUUCGUGUUUCUCGCGUGGACUCAGCUGUUCGCAGGGGUCGGGGUGGAGAGAGCGAGCAGCCUGUGCCUAGGAAUCCUAGUCCAAGAAUGACGACGGUGAUAUUUUUGUUCCGGCCUUAGUCCUUAACCCUCUUGCAACUUUUAUAUUUCGAACGCCGUGUAAAGGCUAGUAAAUAAAUGGAAUGUUUUCCACGAGUUUGUCGGUGUACAGCAAGUUUCUUUUGCACUCCGUUAAGUUACCCCGACGGCGCCGAGCUUCGUCGUUAAAUAUUCCUCGCAUCCUCGUGUUCCUCCCGUCUACACGCGUCGCUGGGCACGACAAUGCACAGAUGGGGAUUCCGCAGGCACAUUAGUCCUAGCGGAGCCGAGGCUCUAACCAAACGGCCAGUGACCGGCCGUCCAACCACAGAGACAGAAAUACUUAGGCCUAGGUGUGUGAUCAGAAUUGUUCGGACGCGACUACAACUGGUAUAUUUUCUCCUCACGUCGUAGAAAGUAGCUGGAACUUUGGAUGGCGCUACUUUUGGAAUCUCAUCUGUUCCGGGCAUCUUUUUUUGUACUUUUUUUUCACUUCGGUGGCAGGGACCGGUGGUGUUCGUAUCCACCUCAGCCUGGUCCGAAAUGUGUCUGAAGAAAUUUGUUUGGCGAUCUGUGGCAACAUUGUAGCGCCCCGCUGUACGAUUCGAAAGCCGUUGCAAUGUCGUAGACAAUACUUGCACGAAUUGGAACAUUUGGUUUUGCCUGGACAGGUCGGUCUGUCACCACAAGUCCAGAGUGCAUUCUUAAAGCUCGACUUGUCCUACGACCAUUGCUGUGAUUGUAAGCGUCCUUUUAUUUUUGUGCUGUGAACUUUUUUUUUUUUUUGCUAGUAUGACAAUAUAUAUAAAUAUAUACAUACACAUAUAUAUACAUGUACAAAUCUGUUAUAUAUAUAUACGUUAUAUAUAUGCAGCAAACAUGAAAGAAUGAAUAAAAGCUUGCACUUCAA